Non-coding RNA from Oryzias latipes (Japanese medaka), 875 nucleotides. The record is from RefSeq and is a predicted model, not a curated record. Lineage: Eukaryota; Metazoa; Chordata; Actinopteri; Beloniformes; Adrianichthyidae.
AAAGGCAAUGCCAAGGAAACGCAUCAACAAGAAUGACCAAAAGAAAGGCAGUCUGAGCACAUGGUGUGAACCUCCCUCCACUGUACUUGGAGCUAAACUGUGUAUUUGUAAAGCUCCACACUUUGUGCUUUGAAAGAAAAAAAUCCCUUCUUGAGAUGGGAGAAGGAUGGAAGAAAGAGGGGGAGGGAGAGAGUUUGUCUAAAGACUUGGAAGAGAAGAGGAAGCACUCAGGAACUGGAAGCGGGAGAUAGGAGAAGUGACUGCAUGGAGGCGAUAAAACAGGAUUUAUUGGAGAGUAUAUAAACAUGAAGCCAAACUGGAUAGAUCUGAUCACUUCAACUGGAGGAAAAAUCAAAUCGAUAUUGAACAAAGGAACUACAAAAAAAGAGUCAGGUUUCCGAAACAUCAAAUCCUGUCUCUUGUAGACUCCCUGACGUUUUUCCCAUCUCAACAGGAUGCCCCCCCCCUUUAUCAAAUCAGUCACAGAUCUCACCUCUCCUCCAGCCCCGUCCCCUCUCUGUGGAGGGCUGGGUCAGUGGCAGUUUCCACUUUCCUGGCUGGUAAUUAUACUUCAGAAGAGCUGCUUGUGUUCAGAGGGGCCUCAGAGACAGAGAUGCAGAAACUUUGAAGAAGCUCAUUGGAGGGCAGUCGAGAGAGGGGGCUGAGCAGAAAUCAAUGAGAGAGAUAGGAGCGGAAUCUCCCACACUGCCCAGGCGGGCAGAAGGAGACGGACUAAACCAACUGUCCUCUCUGCUCCAGUCGAUUAAGAACGGAGACCGGUGGAAGGCAAUAUCUUCAAAACCUUACCCCUGCUUUACCAACCUUUAUAGGAAAAUUACCAGGUGUAAUAGUCUUCAUAAACAAUAAUUCUUACG